Catharus ustulatus (Swainson's thrush) is the source of this 512-nucleotide long non-coding RNA. RefSeq lists it as uncharacterized. The record is from RefSeq and is a predicted model, not a curated record. The transcript has 4 exons. NCBI's taxonomy places the organism in Eukaryota, Metazoa, Chordata, Aves, Passeriformes, Turdidae.
CUUGGUUUGCCUGCCAGGACUCAUUUGCCACCCUGUGUCUGCAAGUGGAUGACAAGCAGCAGUGGAGCCCUGCUUCCAUGUUACAGCAGCUUUGCAGGAACCAUGUAUUCUAGCAAAAAAGAAAUAAUUUGGACAGACACAUAUGGAUUGAUGUGUCUGUUGUAUAUCUGUAUAAAGAUUAGGUUCUGCUUGGCUGCUAUUAACCAUAAGGUACAGUUCUCCCGUUUGAAGACAACACGAUGUGGGAAAUAUUGCAGAAUGAGGGUCAUUGCAUCAAACGAAAGCAAAAAGUAGAAGAGUUCACAUUAUGUCUUCGUCUUACCUUCCCAUUACAAAAUCCAACACACUACAGCCAAGUGUCCUGGUAUUCAACUGAACCCUUUUCUCUGGAAUCGACCAAACCGCUGGGUUACUUUUCCUCCCAUACACCAGCACCCCAGGACUGCAGUGGACUCAGCAAGUUGCACUUCUUGUGCAUACUACAUGAUUAGGAAGAAUUGAUGUAUGGAAGU